This 683-nucleotide ribosomal RNA is filed under the name uncultured bacterium. RNAcentral's name for it is "bacterial SSU rRNA". It matches the Rfam family "Bacterial small subunit ribosomal RNA", at positions 62 to 747 of the family's 1533-position model. The record is from RNAcentral.
UCGAACGGGAUUUAGUAGACAGAAGCUUCGGUGGAAGAUUACUAAUGAGAGCGGUGAACGGGUGAGUAACGCGUGAGCAACCUGCCUAUGACAGUGGGAUAGCCUCGGGAAACCGGGAUUAAUACCGCAUAAAAUCGUAGAAACACAUGUUUUAACGGUCAAAGAUUUAUCGGUCAUAGAUGGGCUCGCGUCUGAUUAGCUAGUUGGUGAGAUAACAGCCCACCAAGGCGACGAUCAGUAGCCGGUCUGAGAGGAUGAACGGCCACAUUGGAACUGAGACACGGUCCAAACUCCUACGGGAGGCAGCAGUGGGGAAUAUUGCACAAUGGGGGAAACCCUGAUGCAGCGACGCCGCGUGAACGAAGAAGGUAUUCGUAUCGUAAAGUUCUGUCCUAUGGGAAGAUAAUGACAGUACCAUAGAAGAAAGCUCCGGCUAAAUACGUGCCAGCAGCCGCGGUAAUACGUAUGGAGCGAGCGUUGUCCGGAAUUAUUGGGCGUAAAGGGUACGCAGGCGGUUUAAUAAGUCGAAUGUUAAAGAUCGGGGCUCAACCCCGUAAAGCAUUGGAAACUGAUAAACUUGAGUAGUGGAGAGGAAAGUGGAAUUCCUAGUGUAGUGGUGAAAUACGUAGAUAUUAGGAGGAAUACCAGUAGCGAAGGCGACUUUCUGGACACAAACUGACGCU